GACGAACGCUGGCGGCGUGCUUAACACAUGCAAGUCGAACGGUGAAGCUCCAGCUUGCUGGAGUGGAUCAGUGGCGAACGGGUGAGUAACACGUGAGCAACCUGCCCCUGACUCUGGAAUAAGCGCUGGAAACGGCGUCUAAUACUGGAUACGAGAAGGGUCCGCAUGGGCACUUUCUGGAAAGUUUUUCGGUUGGGGAUGGGCUCGCGGCCUAUCAGCUUGUUGGUGAGGUAAUGGCACACCAAGGCGACGACGGGUAGCCGGCCUGAGAGGGCGACCGGCCACACUGGGACUGAGACACGGCCCAGACUCCUACGGGAGGCAGCAGUGGGGAAUAUUGCACAAUGGGCGAAAGCCUGAUGCAGCGACGCCGCGUGAGGGAUGACGGCCUUCGGGUUGUAAACCUCUUUCAGCAGGGAAGAAGCGAAAGUGACGGUACCUGCAGAAGAAGCACCGGCUAACUACGUG
This 468-nucleotide ribosomal RNA is filed under the name uncultured bacterium. RNAcentral's name for it is "partial 16S ribosomal RNA". It matches the Rfam family "Bacterial small subunit ribosomal RNA", at positions 28 to 507 of the family's 1533-position model. The record is from RNAcentral.